UAACCUGCCCAAGAGAUCGGGAUAACACCUGGAAACAGAUGCUAAUACCGGAUAACAACAGAUGAUGCCUAUCAACUGUUUAAAAGAUGGUUCUGCUAUCACUCUUGGAUGGACCUGCGGUGCAUUAGCUAGUUGGUAGGGUAACGGCCUACCAAGGCGAUGAUGCAUAGCCAGUUGAGAGACUGAUCGGCCACAUUGGGACUGAGACACGGCCCAAACUCCUACGGGAGGCAGCAGCC
RNAcentral lists this ribosomal RNA (239 nucleotides) under uncultured Lactobacillus sp. RNAcentral describes it as "partial 16S ribosomal RNA". It matches the Rfam family "Bacterial small subunit ribosomal RNA", at positions 122 to 355 of the family's 1533-position model. Lineage: Bacteria; Bacillati; Bacillota; Bacilli; Lactobacillales; Lactobacillaceae. The record is from RNAcentral.